This 277-nucleotide small RNA is filed under the name Oryza sativa Japonica Group (Japanese rice). RNAcentral describes it as "sRNA Os01g0720200". Lineage: Eukaryota; Viridiplantae; Streptophyta; Magnoliopsida; Poales; Poaceae. The record is from RNAcentral.
UGCUACUGAUCUUGGUUGUUUUAUUUCUUUCGACCCUAAUUUUCAUCCGAAAUAAGAAUGGCGUUGUGCUCGGAUCUGCAAACUUAUUGUUGUGCCUGGAAGGAUGUAUACCCAGGUCGUGUUGAUGUCAGUUCCACAUCAAUGGACGAGACCAGUGUUGGAACGAGUUUUUCUUUACAUUGUAACUCAACAUGUUAACUUCGUUUAUGCAAAGAUUCGCCUUAAGCGCGAUUUGUGCGCUGUAUCUUUACCCUUCACUAAACAUUUUAUUGUGUCC